UACGGGGGGAGCAAGCGUUGUUCGGAUUUACUGGGCGUAAAGGGCGCGUAGGCGGCCACCGCAAGUCAGUUGUGAAAUCUCUGGGCUUAACCCAGAACGGUCAGCUGAUACUGCGGGGCUAGAGCGCAGAAGGGGCAACUGGAAUUCUCGGUGUAGCGGUGAAAUGCGUAGAUAUCGAGAGGAACACCUGCGGCGAAGGCGGGUUGCUGGGCUGACACUGACGCUGACAGCGCGAAAGCUAGGGGAGCGAACGGG
This 255-nucleotide ribosomal RNA is filed under the name uncultured bacterium. Its description in RNAcentral is "partial 16S ribosomal RNA". It matches the Rfam family "Bacterial small subunit ribosomal RNA", at positions 524 to 776 of the family's 1533-position model. The record is from RNAcentral.